CAAACACGCGCAAGUAAACCAUUUUUGGUUACAUGAGUAAAAAAUUUUAGGAAUAAACUAGAAAUGUGGUAGCUUCACCGAAGGGCACCUGCGUAGAUGAAAAGCAGCGUUUCCAGGAAGUCUGAGGCUUCACUUUUUCCUUGUGAAAUUUGUACCUCGCAACACUCUUCACCUCCACUCCCUCCCUGAGUCUCCUGCUGGCUGGCUCUUGGUUUCUCGAUGCCAUUCUUAUUUCCGGCUACUGAUGGUCAAAUGCAGUUUUUAUUCCCACUUCCCCUCUCCAUCCCCGACCCGAGCUGACGUUCGACCAGCAAACCACAGCCAACGCCCGCAACGGAGUUCAGUUAAGAAGGCGCGUGGGAGGUGUGGGGAAUGACAGGAGCACUCUGGCCCCAAGGUUUUCAUUUCAGUUUUUAUUGGAGUCGAUUGCUGCUAUCCAUUCUCAGCCCCUGACAACCCAGGCUGGAGUGCAAUGGCGUGAUCUCGGCUCACUGCAACCUCCAUCUCCUGGGUUCAAGCGAUUCUCCUGC
Molecule: long non-coding RNA, 530 nt
Filed under: Pan troglodytes (chimpanzee)
Lineage: Eukaryota; Metazoa; Chordata; Mammalia; Primates; Hominidae
Description: long non-coding RNA NONPTRT014551
Source: RNAcentral